GUGCUCACUUCGGCAGCACGUAUACUAAAAUCAGAAUGAUACGGAGAAGAUUAACAUGGCCCUCUACAAGGAUGACACAAAAAUUUUUAGUCAAGGUCUCUCUUUUG
This is a small nuclear RNA of Nycticebus coucang (slow loris), 107 nucleotides long. The record is from RefSeq and is a predicted model, not a curated record. Lineage: Eukaryota; Metazoa; Chordata; Mammalia; Primates; Lorisidae.